AUACGGAGGGUCCAAGCGUUAAUCGGAAUUACUGGGCGUAAAGCGUACGUAGGUGGCUUGAUUAGUCGGAUGUGAAAGCCCUGGGCUCAACCUGGGAACUGCAUUCGAUACUGUCUGGCUAGAGUAUAGUAGAGGGAAGUGGAAUUCCGGGUGUAGCGGUGAAAUGCGUAGAUAUCCGGAGGAACACCAGUGGCGAAGGCGGCUUCCUGGACUAAUACUGACACUGAGGUACGAAAGCGUGGGGAGCAAACAGGAUUAGAAACCCGGGUAGUCC
This 274-nucleotide ribosomal RNA is filed under the name uncultured bacterium. Its description in RNAcentral is "partial 16S ribosomal RNA". It matches the Rfam family "Bacterial small subunit ribosomal RNA", at positions 523 to 796 of the family's 1533-position model. The record is from RNAcentral.